This 13633-nucleotide unclassified non-coding RNA is filed under the name Leishmania donovani. RNAcentral describes it as "gene:LdHU3.16.0200(CDS-product:hypothetical_prote in_conserved)". The record is from RNAcentral. Lineage: Eukaryota; Euglenozoa; Kinetoplastea; Trypanosomatida; Trypanosomatidae.
GGAGCCCAGCACGCCCUGGGCGACUCGUCUUUUCCCUUUACUCUUUUCCGGCCGGCGGGAGCGCCACCACCGGCCCAUCAUGGCGGGCAAAGACUUCGAUACGAGCUUGUUUCUUAAGUUUCUCUUUUCGGUCAUCUUUCUGUUCCUCUGCUGCUUUUCGUUGAUGCUGUACAUUGACAAGGUGGUGGCCCUCUUGCUCGUCUUCAUGCUGCGCUUCCUGGUACUGCCGCGCAACAUUCGGCUGAGCUUCUCCGGACUUCAUAUUGCACCCCUGCAAGCCCGCGUGCUGUUCCGCGGGUUCAGCCUGCAGACGGAGAACAUCUCGCUUCGCAUCGUUGACGGCUACUUCACCUUUGCCUUCUGGGGCUUCUGGUUUCGCCAUCCGCGGUGGGCUCGGCUACGUGAGUACAUGAUAGGCGAGGCGCUUAUCGGCACUCGCUGCCGCGUGCGGCACAACCUGCACUACGUCAAGGGCACGAUCGUUGCCGUCGACGCGGAGAACAAGAAGGUAUCGGUGCAGUUUGAUGAGCACAACACGAAUGGAAGCAGCCUGGAUGAAGACGAGGAUGUGGCGGCGGGGGAGGAUCGUGGCGCCGCCGAGCCCUCACCGAAUUUGGUUGGCAGUGCGCCAGGUAACCUGCGGCACAACUCCGCCGCAGGUGAGUCCUCGUCGUCUAUGAAUUCGGUGGAGUCUCAGAACGUGCGUGGCCGUGGCACCGCCACCUCCGCGCCGUUGGGGCCGCGGCGCUCGCGGUGGAAAGAGUUCAGCUUUUCACCGAUGAUAGUACCCCUUCUCGGGCAACACAGUUGUAACGAGGCGCGCAUGCAUCCUGAGGGUCUGGGCGAUGAGGUGGUGAAGGCGGUCGAUGUCAAAGACGUGUACAUCCGCAGCCGGGCCGGCUUGCUGCAGCUGCACUUGAAUGGUGUCCGACUUUGUGUAUAUAACGCCACGGGCAAGUACCUUGACCUGGCUAGGGCAGCUACCGCCGGCGAGCGUGCCUUCGAGAACCGCACCCGCGAGGCUCGCAAGACGAACAACGAGAGCAGCGCCGAGGCGGAACGGAGAGACAACGUGAGCUCGGCGGGCCCGCGGAAUUUGCAGGGCGCGACAAGAAACGGACUGUCGGGCCUGCUGCAGGCGAUCGGCAAGUACGUGCUCUCCUACAAGGAAGCCGAGCUCGAGGCGCAAGGGCGAGACGACGCGCAGGAGUCCUUCGAGCUACGAGCGGCGCGGAAGCUUCAGGAGCACAACAUCCUCACGACCAGUUUUGCGCAGAAGUUCUUCAACUUCAUCGGGUGCGUCGAGAUUGAGAUUUGCGCCGCGCAGCUCGACAUUGGCAGCGCCGCCUCGUCGCACCCGUACUUUCUGCACUUCACCUUUCAGCAAGGCGAGGGACGUGUCUUCUUGACGAAGGACAGCUGCCCCGCCCUCGAUCUUUACCGCACCGUUGUGGAGCUGACGUUGCGUGAGGUGGACAUACGGAUGGCGCAGAUGGAUAGCAAGCUGAGCAAGACGCAGGUGAUGCGGAAUGCGACGCUGCUGGAGCGGGCGCGUCUGCUGGUGUCAGGUGUCGCAGUGCCGUACGACCACAUGCCCCUUGAAACGACCGCCUCGUCCGAGCUGAUUGACGACUACGGCAUCUUCAUGGACGGCAAGAACAAGGGCACGGUGCACCUCGUCUUCUACAAGGAUGCCCCGAACGUGUACGCCGGGGAGGCAGUGAGCCGUGGCGCGCUGCCGACCACCGGGGUCGAGGUGCUGAUCGAUGCCCCGGUGGUGCGCUACGGCCCCUGGCUGGAGUACUGCCGCUCACAGCUGUGGCAGUAUUUUCUACCACCCAACUACCUCCCCUUGCAAGAGCUGCAGUUUGAGGUGGGCAAGCCGCGUCCGAACGCCGGGUUCGAGCUGCUCGUCAUGUUCCUGCGCGCGACGACUGUCGAAAUCCCGUUUAAGCGGCGCAGCAUCGUGCCAUCGCCACCGUUCGGCAUUCGUGACUCGAAGCGCAAGGGCAUGAUAGUGGCGACGGUAGGCGAGGGUACGCAGUACAUCCAACCAGCCUUCUUUCUCCUUCCGAAGGAGGAGAAGCGGAUCUUUCAAGGUCUCUUCAUCGCCAAGGGCGUCACUGUCUGGACGAACUGCGUGCUGGAGCGGGAGACCGUGUUGUGCAACGCCGAGUCGCUGCAGUUCUUCCUCGACCGCCAGGAUGACCGACUCUGGAACGGGCGCAAGCUGUGGAACAUCCUGGCGAAACUGUCGGGGGCGAAGCUGUACUGGUACAUGGUGUACGUCGACUACUUUCUCGACCUAAUCAACGACUGGCAGUUCUCGGCGUGCAUGUACCACGGCGUGCCGCUCACAACGGAGAUGUACAACACUGUGAAUCGUGUCGUGCGGGACUGCAUUCCCAACGUGAAGCGCUUCGAGGUCUUUCUAGAGUCUCUGGCCACCGUCUACCUCAACGUUAACACGCGCAACGUGGUCUACGCGGACGACCCGAACGACUUCGCCCACAACGUCAUGGCGAUUCUGACAAUGCAGUCCGGGUGCUUCAACAUCGUGCUCCCGAGCGACCAGUACCAGCUGAGUUUCGAGAACGAGGCGGCACGGCCGAUGGAGGCCUCGGCGCGUGAGGUGAAGGCGUACCUGAGCUUGCCAGCCAGCCACCCUCUCUACGAUCAGGUGAGCAGCGAAACUCCAUGGGCGUACGCGGAGUCGUUCCGCAUGCAAGGACUCUUCACGAUGCUGGUGCCCAACCAGUCGAUUCCGCUGCCGCGCAACAACUUCGACACGACCACUGGCCGCACGCGCUACCACAACUUCUUCAACCUCGACCUCGAGCUGAUGAACCUGCGUGGCACCCUCAUGGGCACCCACAUCAAGGCCCUCUUGAACUGCUUCGAGAACACCUUCCUCGACAACACGUUUACAGUCGCGCCGGAUGAACUGUUUUGGCUUCUGGCGAAGCUGCAGUCGCACGCCACGACGGGGAAGAACAAGCGGAAGGCGUUUAAGGAGUUCCUGGAGCGGAGCCAGCCGGCUGCCAACGACGUGGAGGUUUGCGUGACGGUGCGGCUCGUCGACGUCAGCGCCACAGCCACGACGAGCUCGAUGCCCUUGGCACCGCAGGUCAACCUCUCCACCGGGCUUAUCACCUUCACGUAUGUAAAGCAGUUUUCCGUGACGGACACCGGCGUCUCGCUCACCCCGCUGACGGUGCGCUUCCCCGAUCGCCGCGGCAACUUCCCGCGAAACUCCAAAUCGCACAUCGUGAUCGGCGCCAUCACGGUGGGGCUCACGAAGCACUUUGGGCGCAUGCCACUGAAGCCGAAGGUGCACGAGGCGAUGGAGGUCCACGUCGGCGGCGUGUCGCUUGAGGUGGCGGCCGAGCAGCUUGUGAUGCUGGUGGAGGUAGCGCAGACGGUGGCGCGGCACUUCGCGAUAGAGGAUGCGAUGAUGGAGGCCGAGGUUGCCGAGGCGCUGACGACAGCGGAGCUGUCGGCCGAAAAGGUGAUCCGCUGCAGCCCGCUGCGCAACACCACGGGCGUGUUCAAGAAGGGCAUGCGACGCCGGCACGUUGGGCAGAGCAGUGUGCCAAGCAUCUGCCGAUCCGCUGCGGUGGGAGAGGAAGUGGCUAUGAGUACUGGUAGCCUUUUCGGUGGCCCAACGGGCGACUACGAUGGCACGCACGGCGAUGAUUACGGAAACGGCGCCGUGGAAAUGCGGGAGUGGCGCUCGGCACAGCGCACUAGAAGACUUCCGGCCUGCCACUCCUUCCCCGCGGGCAGUGAAGGCGGCGGGGACGGUGGUGCACGCGACUGGGCCGACGCCGGCAGCGCUGUCGUGGUGGAUGUCAGCGGGCAGGCGCAUGCGGAGCCUAUUUCGUUACUCACAGCCUCGGCCGUGAGGGGCGCAUGCGCCGGCGGCGCGACAGCCGCAACCGACACCAGCAUCGGCGAGGGAGACUGCAGCCUGCCCAUUCUGCAUUCCUACGAGUCGGACAGCGGGCGCUCGUCGUCUGGGAAGCACUGGCGUGGUUUUAAACGCCGUCGCCGCCUCUUCAGCGGUUUGAGCCCCGCCUCCUCGUCGGGCUCGGACGACGACUGCAGCGGCCAGCGUUGGCGCCCGUUUGCGUCGCAGGUGGCGUACGACGUUGCCCUGGAAUUCGCCAAGUUCAGGGAGGAGUGCAACAAGGCGGACGACGACUCGCGCGACUACGGACUGUUCUUCCUCUUGGUGGAUGUGGGGACAGUGGCAGGGGUGGUGCGCAUUGGCGAGGACGGCUACGCAUUUGUGGAGUUGCCGCUUGGCGUGACGGUGGCGCACUCAACGGUGAACGACGGCAACUCCAACAAACGGAUGAGCAUAGCGAUGAAAUACGUAGGGGUGCAGCUGCUGUUGAACCGCACUAGCGAGGUGGCACAGACCUACCUUCCCUCGCUGAAAGGUGACGCUUCCGUCGGCGAGUAUCUCGAAGUGCUGUCGCUGCGCACAUCGGUGUGCAUGCGGCAGUACGUGGCAUAUCCCUUCGACAACAGCCUGGCGAACCAUCGUCGUCGGCAGCAGCAGUUCGUGGAGGAGAACGACUACGAACACCUCAUCAGCUUUCCCUUCAACAAGACUUCGACGCAGUGCCCGACGACACCAGCGCGGGCAUCCGGUCCGGAGUCGACCGCGAUGGCCCCAGAAACUCCAAGAGGCGAGGAAGAACCGCCUUGGACAAGUCGAGCACAGAGCUGUGCUACGCCCGUGGCAGAGACAGCUACGCUGCCGUGCUCGCCGCAGCCAAAUGCCACGAGUCCACCGUCCACCACGAAUGGCUUCAACUCGCUGUUGCAUCAGGCGAGCGCGGCGUCGUCAGCACCAAUAGCGGCUCGCGACGGGAUGUCGCCCAAGUUGCCUUUAACCUUGGCUCGUGGUGACGAUGGUGAUGCGGCGGCCAUGCCGCCCCUCCCGCGCGCUUUCACCAGCAGCACCGAUGAGCUGUCACUGCCGUCGUCGCCAAACUCGCAGAACACCAUGGUCCAUACGCACCUAGCCUGUGAGGCAGAUGAUGCGUCGCGUCUGCAGAGCACGCUCCCGUCCAUCUCCACCACCUUCCAGGCGGUCGACAAGGAUAACCAGAUGAGCCAUCGCUUCGCCACGUGCGUUUCGGUGUCGUCGCCGAUGUUCUCCUCGGGGGUGAGCAGCCCCGACAUCGACUCGUUCUUCGACGCGUCUUCGUCUGGCUCGUUGUCUCAGCAGCGUGCCAUGAACAGAGCCUUCGCCGUCGACGGGGACAUGGCGAGUGCCUCUGAAGAGAAACGCGCCGCGCACAGGAAGAACAGCAGUGACGGCGGCAUCGGCACUGGCAACUCCACUGAAGCGAUCGCACGGCCGGGCAACAACGACGGUGGGGCUUGCGGAAGAUGUGAAGCCCGCACAAGCCCCAGCGGCGGCGGGGCUGACAGCAGCCCAGCGGCGUCGUCGUCAUGUAUGACCGCCCCACAUUUCUUCUACCGCACAUUCGACAAGGCGGAGAGCGACGAACAAGGCACCUGCGCCGUUGACUACUGGCCAUCGCAGCGGCCGAGCAACGCCCAUAGGGUGCGGGAUCACACUCGAUUUCACGCACGGUUGCCUAUUGUGGGGUUUUGCCUCAACGCCAACCGUGAGAGCCGCGCGCCGCCCUUCUUCUCUUACUCGAAGCGGCAGAUGCUGCAACGCGAGGAGGACCUCUUCGCGUGGGCCCGCUGCAUUGCCGACAACCGCGAGCGCUCGCAGAACAACUCUACGUCGCGCCAUCUGCACAUUGCAUUCCUCGAUCCGCUCACCCUACUGGUGACGCCGGAGGCGGCAGUUCUGGCUAGCGCUGCCACGCAACUCGCGCUACGAGCUCACCACUCUCUGCGCAGCCGUCGCUCCGACUUGCCGCGCGACCUGCCCACGCUGGAGAGUCCGGGGGCCGCUCCCAGCAGGGCUGCGCAGCCGCUGCUGCUGCGACCACACGCUAAGAAGAGCAAGGCACGAACACAGCAGCAGCGCUGGCUGUGGGAGAGCAACAUUGUGAGUGUCGCGGUGCCCACGGUUGAGGUGAAACUGCUCACGCGUCUGCCCGUGCCGGUGGAAAACCUGCCGAGCGAACCGAGCGUGACGGACGGAGUUUACACGUCCACAGUAGUGGUGCGCAACCUCCGCGUGCUUAUGGCGCAGAACCGACCACCCACCGGGGAGGACACGGAGGCCAAGGCAUCGCAGCGGAUGUCGGUGUCUGUGAAGGUGGACACGGCUGCUGCCAUUACGCAGAUCGAGUGGGAACCGAUGGGGCGAGAGGGCAACCUCGCCGUGAAGGUGCCUGGUUUCUGGUACAAUGCCGACAAGGAUACCUUGGCGGUCGUUUUCCUCACUCAAGUCGCUGGCAAGGUCAAGAGGGACCUGUGGCGCGGCGCUGACGGUGGCGCGUCGAACAUCACGGUCUCUGACGUGGCUGCGUACGUGACGCGCGACUUUGCCGACUACGUGCACGGGCUGAUGUACCUCGUGCAGGACGUGACAGCCGAUGUUCGGCGGCGCACGAGGGUCAAUGAGCGCUUUUUCUUCCCCACGUCGCAGUCGACGACGGCCCUGAACUUGGACCCGUCCACCGUGCCACGAACGGCCUCGGUGCCGGCAGCGCCCGCCGCCUCUGGCGUGUUCGGCCGUGCCGCCGGUUUUGCAUUGCGCGAAGCACCUCACACGCGAAAGGGACGGGUGGUGCAGGGCAAAGGCUUCGUGGGGCAUCUGGCGGUGACGCUCAUCGACACGGUGCGGUCGGGGCAGCGCAUUGCCGUGAACCAAACGAAGAUGAGCCGCCUUGACAUCCGCAGGCCCUUCUGCAACUUCGUGGUCGUGACGCCGAACCUCCUGCGGGACCGUAACGUGCACGUCCAGGGCUUUGGCGAGGUCGAUGAGAUGAGCGCGAGGGUCUUUCCCUCGUUGCUGCACAUUUUGCACCCGCGGGCAGCAAGGCGCAGCCUGGGCAUCCUGGCUACCGCGGCUGGCUCACCCAAGUCAAUCAACUCCCGUACGCCGUCUUUUCAGCCGAACGUAGUCACCACCGCCAGCACGAUGAUGUUUGCGCAGUCCUCCGCGGACACGAGCGCUACCGUCCACUCUUCCGGUCAUAUCGGCGCCGCGGGCCCACCGAGUCGGCCACUGGCGUUCAUCUACGACGGCACGUUCACUGUCCACCAACUCGAUCUGCGCGCGCAGCAGUCAGACACGAACUACAUUCAACUGACGGGGAAAGACCUGACUGGGUGUGCCGAGUCACGCGCCGAGGGCGUGGCGUCGCGCGAGUGUGUCCAGACGGAGGCGCUCACGGAAUCAAUAUCAGAGACGCUGAAGGAACGUCUGCGCUACAAGGCGAAAAAGGCCCGCGAGCGGGCGAAGCGCAGCCGCUACCCUGCCCCGCCUGAGACGACGGAGCAGCUACAGCUGCGCUCCACGGCGUCCUUCUUUGCGCAAGAGGUGCAAGUACACUACGUGGCCGACUGCCUCAUGGAGUCCAUCUCGCACGACUUGAAGAGUCCGCUACGCGAUCCGGCCGAUAGCCAGAGCAUGAAGACCAGCAAGGUCUUUACCGCCGCCGUCACGGACGUCGCCCUUGUCGCGCAAUUUUCGCAGCAGGUCAAUCUCAAGGGCGAUCAGGUGAACUUGCACAUGAUGGUGCACAGUGCCGUGUUUCAGUCACCACACUGCGUGCGCGCAGCCGACACGCUGCACCCGCAGGUGCACGCGCUGAUCAGCUCAUGGCGGCAGGCGCUGCAUGCGGCGAGCCGGACAGUGCGCCCUGGGUCCACUGUGGACAAGCUUGGAAGCGCCAUCAUCCUGCGUAGGGGGAGCAUGAGCAGCAGUGCAGCGGAGCGGGGAUCGGCCAAACUGCAGCAGAGUAGAGCAGUGACCUUCCAGGUACAGGCGACAAGGAUUACAGGCUUCGUGGGACUGGCUCAAGGCAUCGUGCAGAAGUUCCUGCUGCCGCAGAUAUCGUGCUUCACGAAGACGUCGUCGAACGGCCGCGCCGAUUUGAAGCUGCACCUUCACCCCUUCACCAUCACGUCCCACAACACACCCCUGGAAAACUACAGCGUUGUGCUGCCCCACGUUUACAUCCUCUACGCGCACGACACCAUCAAGAUGCUCUGCAGCGUCACCGUGGGUACCAUCGCCAUCACCAUUACGCCGCUGUUCAUCAACCACAGCCUCCUCACGUACGAGAAGCUGAUCCACGACGUGGCUGCUGUGAUUGCGUCACCGAAGAUGCACGCUGACGACGAGGAGCGACUAGCGACGGAAGCCCGCUCCCCUGUGGACGCCACCGAUGCAACGCUGCGGCGUGACCCGUCUAGGGACACAUGGAGCUCGCCCCCCACAACUCAUGUGCCCGGCGGAGGCUGGAGCAGCCGCAGCGGGCUCAGCGCAGGCUUCGGCUCUGUGUCGCCGACAGACGGUAACCCUUCGUUGGAGGGCGCGACGGCGGGAAAGGACGGCCGUCGGGAUCGGCUACAUCAUGGCAUCCAGUCGCCCAUGAGCGCCGACGAGGACGUUCGUGGUGCUGCUACGGAGGCGGCUGCCGUGCCCCGGAUUCCGAUGCGCAAGCGCCGGCGGAGCUUUCUUUUCUUGUUGCAAGGGGUGCGUCUCUCCUACCUGACUUCCAUGACGACGCUGCGCUUCACAAUCCGCAGCUUGAACGCGACGGCCGACACGACGGAGGGCGACACGCGGCACGUGCUACACUGGGUAGUGAACGCCACGAAUGCGCAGGCAGCGCUCGUCGACCGCGACGAUCAUGACCAGAUGGUAGCGACUUACAACAGCUUGUCACAGCACAGCCGGGUGGCGAGCCGAGAGACGCACGGCUCCAGCGCCCUGUACGCCACCUCCCACACGUCUUCGAGCGGACGCGCCACCGACGUCGCCAAUACCAUGAAGGCCGCGCACCCCCUCAGCGGCUUCUUGUGGGGUUCCAUCGCUCUUUCCUUCACGCUCUCCAGCGGCAAGGUGGACGACAACCGCGCCAGGGCCGCGCUGCAGGAGAGCACCUCCCUCGGCUCGUACAGCGAAGAGCUGCAGAAGGCGCUGCUGGACUCCCUCACCACCUCCACCUCCAAGUGGGAGCUUGCGGUGUUCGAGCCGCUGGUGCUGGUGCGCUUCGGACUGGAUUCGCUCAUCAAGCAGUGCGUUCGCGAAACGGAGGAGGACAUACGCGCCAUGAAGGAAGCGACCUACGAGGCAGACCUUAGUGCCAGCACGAGGCUGCGCCAGCACAAGCGCUUCCAGCGGCUGCAGGAGGAGAAGAAGCGCAUCGACCGCUUCAUAAAGCGAGCGGAAAAGGAGCGGCACCGCAAACUGCGAACCAUGACAGAGCGCGUGGUGCACGACGUGACACAGCGACGCGGCAUAUUUCCGACGGAUGCGAUCGAGGGCGAUGCCUUGCUCGAUUUCUUCCGGAUUCGACGCUCGCACAAGGUGGUCGCGUCGGUGAGCAACUUUAUGGUGGUGGUUCCUUUCGGCGAUGCUGCGUACCGCAGCGUCCUCGAGGAGAUGCCAGGAACGUUUGCGUGUGGAAAGACCGACCGGCAUAUCCACACGGCAUCGUGCCUGAGUCGGCGCCGGUUCAUUCCGUCCUUUGCGUUGAAGAUGAAGAUGAACGACGUCUCGUUUAUCUGCAGCUUCGAGGUGGUGAAACACAUCGUCCCGGUGCUGGUCGCCGACCAGCACCAUCGUCUGCGUAACGACUCCAUGUUUGUCCACGCCGGCACAACGGAUCAGGACUACACAACUUCGCUCCUUUUCCACGGCCGCUUGCUUGCCUUGAACAGUCAUCUCUACUUCUCGGACGGCUCGCCACUGAACAAGUCCGCCAAGCUGCUAGACCUGCUGCGCGACACGCCGAUUCUCGGCGGACAGGGUGUGCUUACGAGCUACGCCGCCGAGGAACACCGGCGCUCGCUGAACAGCAUCUCCGUCGUCUCCGUUGAGGCGCCGUUGUGCAUUGAGAAGAAGAACAACACGUUGCACAUCGGCGUUGUGGUGGACGUGUCGGAGCCGAAGGUGCGCAUGUCGUCGCGUAUACUCAGCAUUGUGCGUGAACUGUCGCAGGAGCAGACGGCGUUGCCGUUACAGGUGCACAUGCGCGCACGCCGUCGUGGCGAGACGCCGUCGCCGCCGCCGCGCCUUUCUCGGAACACUAGCGGGGGUGCCAGCUCGGUCGCUCGAGGAAUCAGUGGCGACUCUCCCUCCGCCAGCAUUGGGGCGGAGUUUGCGGCCGCGCAGCCAGAGCUGAAGGGGCCGCUGUCCCUGCAUCUUGACGUCACCGGCCGGCUGGAGGCGAGCGAGUUGGCCGUCUUUUGUUACUCGAAUCCAGAGAAGUGGUGUGCGGAGAGCUGCACCACAGCUGCCGGUGCCGUGGGCGGCGGCGGCGGUGCUCGGGCCUACUCAAGUCCGCGCUCGCUGCGGACCACCUCGUCGCCGGUGGCGCGUCGGUGCGUCAGCUUCGAGACCCCCUCUUCGCAGAACAACCGCAUGCGGGCGGCGAGGGAUGCGCGGGCGGUCGCCAAUGCGACCGCCAAGGGUGUCAGCGUGAACAGAAGCAACCAGAACCCUCCCCGGAGCGAGAGCGGCGACGGCAUCGACUUCUACUCGAACGAGCGGUUCCUCAUCAUGUCUGUUCCGCUGCCCGGCGUAACCUUGCGAGCUAUUAUGCGGCGUGGCAGACGAGACGCCUCUGACGACGUGGAUGUGGUUCGAGUCGAGGUUCGCGCCGGGACCAUCGAGCUGAGCCCGUCCAUGGCAGCGCUGGCACAGGAGGUGGAGAUGUGCGCUCGCACUGAUGAACAGAACCGCGUGGAGCGCAACCAGAAGAUCAUCGCGUUUGUGCAGAGCAUGGAGGCUGAGGUACCGCAGCUGCGCGUGCCACUGCACUGCCCGCUGGUGGAGGUGCUCGUUCCCAUGCCGCGAGCGUACGAGUCGGUGCUGUCUCAGAUGCGUUUGGACAGCGUUGCGUGGCUGCGGCGCACCGACCCGUCCGCGCGCACGCCGACGCCGCUCGGCGAGAGCGGCGGCAGCACCGGAGCAAAGAACCUCCUCAACAGCGCUGUGGUUGCUGUGGGGCACAACAAGUCGCGCGGAAUCGUUGCCGUGCACGUGAGCAUCAGCGACCUCCGCCUGAUCUUCAACUCGGAGCCAGUGGCCUCCACGCACUUCAUGCUGUACCUUGACCAGGGCGGCACGAUCAACUUCGUCUUCAAGUACUUCGAGCGUCCUGACCCGAACGAGCGCUUCGUCAACAAGUUCCCUGACGCGUCACUUGUCGUGACGAUGCGCAGUGUGCGGGCGGAGUGCCAGACGAAGCUGGAAGUGAAGUCGCUGGAAGUGACGCUGCCAGAGGCGGAGCUCGCCAUCAGCCGCCGCAGCGGCCACAUCGGCGUUGUGGACUCUGUCAGUGUGUACCUUCCCUUCAACGUCGAGGGCAGCGAGCCGAAUCUGACGGCUCGGCUGCAGCACAUGUCGCAGGUCUUCUUGGUCGUCAAGCUGUGGUCCAUCACGACAUCAGAGACGCUGAGGACGGCGCGGCGCCUCUUUGAGCGGCGCUCAAUCGCCAACGAGAUCUCUCCGCAGGCUGCACGCACACGAUUUGCUCGUCAGGUGGCCAAGACCACGACGGCGUUCCAGGACAAGCUGAGGAUGGUCACAGACCACCGCACACUGGUCUACCUCGGACUCUCCCGCGCGGUAUGCUUCUUUGAUCUCGGCGCUGGCAGCACGCACAGCUUCACGAUCGGUUCGGCCAACGUGGUGGCGGAGUAUGCCAAGCGCGCGAACGGAUGCACUGUGAGCCUGCUGCUCGGGCGCAUCUCGAACACGUCCAUCCGCUCAGAGGGUGUCUUGUCGGGUGGAAUGAUGAUCGGCGACGUCAUGGCCAAGGCCUUUGUGAUCCAGAACUCGGACGACACAGAGGGGUUCGUGCGGUCGCCUGAGCAGCGCACCUUCCGGGAGGCACUGCUCAUGCAGCAGGUGCACGUGAAUUUCAAGGAGCGGCAGCUGAAGGACAUCUUUGAGUGCAAGGUGGGCUCCUUCCACGCCAACUCGAUGGACGGCAUUGGCGAGGAGGAGUACACAACCACUGACAUGGAUAUCAUGUUGCAGCGCGGCACCCUUGGGGUGACACCGAGCACUGUGCCCGCCUUUCUGAGCUUCGUGCGGAACAUCAGUGCUGUCGUCGCGGAGCAGCGGUGCAUCGCGGCGACCCGGAUGAAGGAGACGACGCUGCCAUUCCCGGCCUUUCAAGGUGUCGCCGGCGACGUCAGCCCUACUGUGACAGGGCUGCAGAAGCCUAUGCCGAUCAUGUGCGAGCACAGCACUGAAAGUCGCAGCAGGUCCGGAAGUGAGUUGAGCGUGGCCACGCAAAGGGCGCGCGUCCGCAUUCCUUUUAUGGGUAACGCUAUACUGCGGGUGCCUUGCGGGCAGCUGCGUGUCGGACUGGAGAAGACAACAGUGCUGCUCGGUGCAAUCGCCUCGGGCGAGGCGGCCGUCGGGUGCGUGGUGCUGAGCUUUCCCAAGGCUCGCUUGUCGUUCGCCGAGUGCCCGUGCGAAGACUACACGGCGGCGAAGAAGGUGCUCGUGAUCGAGUCGCACAACGUGGAGGUGUACCGGCCCGGCACGCCACGCGUCGUCGUUAUGGGCUUUCAAGGCGUCAACUACUUUGAGUUCUACACGCGGCAGGUGCUCGGCUCGGCAGAGGUAGGCUUCGCGCUUACUCUGCGGCAGACGCACCCGUGGACGGGCAACCCGCGGUUUCGCGAUUUUGAGGAGAUGAUAAGCCUCAUCAAGUCCUUCACGGACAAGAAGAACGCGGCCGUCUUUCAGCACUUCGGGCGGCUGGACACCGUCACACUGAGCUCCAAUACGUCAAGCCACACACCGCGGCGUGACUCCGGCAACAGCCCGGCCACCGCCGCUGCAGGCACAGGCGUCGACUGCUCCAGGGACGCAAGCCUGACGGCUGCCGGUUCCGCCUCUACGAUCGGGCCGACCGCGACAGCGGCGGCCGGCGACAUGCGGACCCUCAAGGCGCUUCGCAGCUCUACAUUCUCUCCACAGCUGCGCUUCGGAGGAGACGUGUCUGUAAACACAGAGGUGAUUCUCAACUGGCUGGGGGUAACCGAGAAGAUGCUGCCGCACGUUGUGCACACGGCAUUGUGCGACAAGCUAGAGAAAGUGCUGUACUCCCUCUCUGACCUGGCGAGCGAGCGCGUGACACAUAGGCAGGAAGACAAGAGCAUGGUGGUGGCACCCGCCGCUUCCGGCGGUGCUGUUCCACGAGGUUUUACGGGCUCACCAUCACCGAUCUCGCCCAGCGCCUCCGAACCAAGACGUCUCGACUUGUAGAAGGCGACCUUAUUCUUGUUGCGCGCCGCUGUCUGCCCGUAUCUUAUGCAUCCGUUCACGUGCGUGCGUCGUCGUGCAGCCCCUCCCUCCCCUCCCGCUGGCGAGGCGUUGCCUGCGCUUCUUUCGAUUACGCAUCGCUGGUGCACAAAGCCGGCCAACGGGCCGCAACCGUUUCGCAUUUUCGUUUUCUUUCUUUUCAUUGUUGAGGGGCGCAUUCACCCAUCACGA